GGGGAUAAGAGACACACAAUGGGCUUGUAAGAGAUACACUAAAGGGGAGUGUAAGACACAAAACCUAAAAAAAAUUAUUAAAAUAAAUAUCAAAAUAAAGAGCUGCACCCCUCUCAACCCCUAUCCUACCCCACAAACCCUCUCUUUCACACUACACACAUUCACAAUGCAUCCGUACACAUACACAGAAACACACUAUGCAUCCCGUACACACACUACUUCUCUUAAUGCAUUUUACACACACUCAGUGCACCCAUUACAGGUACACACUGCAUUACAUUACAUACACAGAAACACACACUACAUCCCUUACACAAACUAGUAUCCCUAUACACUACUUUCCAUAAGAACACACACACACACUACAUCAGCUACAAUAACACAUCCCCUACACACAUACACUCCACUCCCUGUGAGCGAACUCAUGGGCAAGCCUUGUAGGCAUACUCUCAGGGGCCCAAAAAAUGGAGCUGCUUCCUGUUUGUUGUUUUUGUGAGCACUGCCUCCAGAGAGCCUGUUUUAAUACCAGACCAGUGAUGGCAGACUGCAGCCUGAGCCCAUCAUCGUCCUCUUGUCUUCAUCUACAGCGCUACGGCUGCGUUAUAUAAAUAAUAAAAUAAUCUGGUAGUAAGUAGGCAAUCCAGUAUAUUAUUAGUGGCACUAAUCUCUAAUUUACCUCACAGGAACACUAUAGCUUAAUGAAGUGGUUUUAGUGUAUAGAUCACGCCUCUCAUGUUUCACUGCUCAAUUCUCUGCCAUUUAGGAGUUAAAUCACUUUCUUUCUGUUUAUGCAGCCUUUGCCCCCCCCCUCCCCUCCCCCCCUGGCUGUGAUUGAGACAGUCUGUAUAGGAAAAAAAUGGUUUCACUUUCAAUCAGAUGAAUUUUACCUUUUAAACAAUUUUAUCUCCUGCUCUGUAAAUUUUACUUUAAUCACAUACAGGAGGCUCGUGCAGGGUCUAGCAAGCUAUUAACAUAGCAGAGGAUAAGAAAAUCUAAAUUAAACAUAACUUAUAAUAAAGAAAGGAUAAACGUUAGAUUACUCUUUACAGGAAGUGUUUAGGAAGGCUGUGCAAGUCACAUGCAGGGAUGUGUGACUAGAUUUCAUAAACAAAGUGAUUUAACUCCUAAAUGGCAGAGGAUUGAGCAGUGAGGCUGCAUGGGGCAUGUUUUAUACACUAAAACUGCUUCAUUAAGCUAAAGUUGUUUUGGUGACUAUAGUGUCCCUUUUAAAGGGACACUGUAGUCACCAGAACCACUGCAGCUCAAUGUAGUGGUUCUGGUGUCUACAGCCUGUCCCUGCAGGCUUUUGUUAUGGAAAGACACUGUGAGCAGCACUGGCAUUCGCUCAUAUGGCAGAUCAUAUGGGUGGGGUAUUGUGAUGUCACACAUGGGGGGCAAAUUUUUGUUUGCUCAAGGCGGCAAAAAUCCUUGCACCAGCCCUGCAAACUUUACUAAAUAAUUAUGUUCUAACAAGCAAGAUACAAAAUUUAGCAUACAUUUGCAUGUUUUUUAAAAAUAUAUAUUUGGGGGGUAGGGGGGUUAAAUGUUGAAGCUGUUUUAAUAGGGCUAAAUAAGUUGUGUUGGGUUAAUUUCAUAUUUAUGCAUUCUGUUUAUAACAUAUUGGACUGCAACUCACAUUAUGUCUGGUCAGAUUUGCCACCUCUAGAAAAUGUGGUGAAUUUAUGUGAGAAAAGUACAUGCUAGACCAAAAUAGCUGAGCUGGCAAUAUGGAUGCACUGUCUAAUUUUUCCAAUUUGACUUUUUUGGUCUAAUAUUUGCAGUUAUCCAUUUUCCAUUAUUCCUAUACCAGUGAACAGCAGCAGUUAGGCAGGUUAGUCUCUCCUACUUUCAGAUUCCUGUAACAUAUGCACAUAUUAUUCAGAUUGCUCACUGUAAACACCAAUGAAUAAGGGAGUCUGUCUGAAAAUCAAAUAAACACUGUUGUAAACACUUUUGCUUCCAAACUGUUCCUGAAAACACAGUUAAUGCACGAUUGUAAACGUCCCAACCUUUGGAAUGGACAAAGAGGAACUCUUUUGUGUUGGGAGUGGGACAUUAGAGGUGUUUUUUAGAUUACUUCAUGGCCUAUUUAAAGCUUUGUAUAGAACGGUUGUUUUAGUACCAGAACAAAGUAUUUUAUUUACACAGGAAUUGUAUAAACAUUUAAAAAUGUACUUUUCCAUGAGGUUUAUUGUAGAACAGAUCUGUAAUAAAUUCACAUACUAAAGCACAUUGUUGG
Pelobates cultripes (western spadefoot toad) is the source of this 2239-nucleotide non-coding RNA. The record is from the annotation of a GenBank genome assembly. Lineage: Eukaryota; Metazoa; Chordata; Amphibia; Anura; Pelobatidae.